This 1372-nucleotide ribosomal RNA is filed under the name uncultured bacterium. Its description in RNAcentral is "bacterial SSU rRNA". It matches the Rfam family "Bacterial small subunit ribosomal RNA", at positions 28 to 1381 of the family's 1533-position model. The record is from RNAcentral.
GAUGAACGCUGGCGGCGUGCCUAAUACAUGCAAGUCGAGCGAACGGACGAGAAGCUUGCUUCUCUGAUGUUAGCGGCGGACGGGUGAGUAACACGUGGAUAACCUACCUAUAAGACUGGGAUAACUUCGGGAAACCGGAGCUAAUACCGGAUAAUAUUUUGAACCGCAUGGUUCAAAAGUGAAAGACGGUCUUGCUGUCACUUAUAGAUGGAUCCGCGCUGCAUUAGCUAGUUGGUAAGGUAACGGCUUACCAAGGCAACGAUGCGUAGCCGACCUGAGAGGGUGAUCGGCCACACUGGAACUGAGACACGGUCCAGACUCCUACGGGAGGCAGCAGUAGGGAAUCUUCCGCAAUGGGCGAAAGCCUGACGGAGCAACGCCGCGUGAGUGAUGAAGGUCUUCGGAUCGUAAAACUCUGUUAUUAGGGAAGAACAUAUGUGUAAGUAACUGUGCACAUCUUGACGGUACCUAAUCAGAAAGCCACGGCUAACUACGUGCCAGCAGCCGCGGUAAUACGUAGGUGGCAAGCGUUAUCCGGAAUUAUUGGGCGUAAAGCGCGCGUAGGCGGUUUUUUAAGUCUGAUGUGAAAGCCCACGGCUCAACCGUGGAGGGUCAUUGGAAACUGGAAAACUUGAGUGCAGAAGAGGAAAGUGGAAUUCCAUGUGUAGCGGUGAAAUGCGCAGAGAUAUGGAGGAACACCAGUGGCGAAGGCGACUUUCUGGUCUGUAACUGACGCUGAUGUGCGAAAGCGUGGGGAUCAAACAGGAUUAGAUACCCUGGUAGUCCACGCCGUAAACGAUGAGUGCUAAGUGUUAGGGGGUUUCCGCCCCUUAGUGCUGCAGCUAACGCAUUAAGCACUCCGCCUGGGGAGUACGACCGCAAGGUUGAAACUCAAAGGAAUUGACGGGGACCCGCACAAGCGGUGGAGCAUGUGGUUUAAUUCGAAGCAACGCGAAGAACCUUACCAAAUCUUGACAUCCUUUGACAACUCUAGAGAUAGAGCCUUCCCCUUCGGGGGACAAAGUGACAGGUGGUGCAUGGUUGUCGUCAGCUCGUGUCGUGAGAUGUUGGGUUAAGUCCCGCAACGAGCGCAACCCUUAAGCUUAGUUGCCAUCAUUAAGUUGGGCACUCUAAGUUGACUGCCGGUGACAAACCGGAGGAAGGUGGGGAUGACGUCAAAUCAUCAUGCCCCUUAUGAUUUGGGCUACACACGUGCUACAAUGGACAAUACAAAGGGCAGCGAAACCGCGAGGUCAAGCAAAUCCCAUAAAGUUGUUCUCAGUUCGGAUUGUAGUCUGCAACUCGACUACAUGAAGCUGGAAUCGCUAGUAAUCGUAGAUCAGCAUGCUGCGGUGAAUACGUUCCCGGGUCU